RNAcentral lists this unclassified non-coding RNA (375 nucleotides) under soil metagenome. RNAcentral describes it as "partial contains 5.8S ribosomal RNA, internal transcribed spacer 2, and large subunit ribosomal RNA". The stretch from base 1 to 120 matches the Rfam family "5.8S ribosomal RNA", at positions 35 to 154 of the family's 154-position model. The record is from RNAcentral.
GAUGAAUAACGCAGCGAAAUGCGAUAAGUAAUGUGAAUUGCAGAAUUCAGUGAACCAUCGAAUCUUUGAACGCACAUUGCGCCCGGCAGUAAUCUGCCGGGCAUGCCUGUCCGAGCGUCAUUUCUCCCCUCGAGCGCAGCUUUCCCCCCCGGGGGAGGGCCGCGCCCGGUGUUGGGGCGCUACGGAGGAGCCCAGCGCUCCCCCGUAGGCCCCGAAAUGUAGUGGCGGUCCCGCCGCGGCGCCCCCUGCGUAGUAGUUUUACAACUCGCAUCGGGUCCCGGCGGAGGCCAGCCGUCAAACCCCCCAACUUCAAUAGUUUGACCUCGGAUCAGGUAGGGUUACCCGCUGAACUUAAGCAUAUCAAUAAGCGGAGGA